This 467-nucleotide ribosomal RNA is filed under the name Ovis aries (sheep). RNAcentral describes it as "partial 12S ribosomal RNA". The record is from RNAcentral. Lineage: Eukaryota; Metazoa; Chordata; Mammalia; Artiodactyla; Bovidae.
UAUAGGUUUGGUCCCAGCCUUCCUGUUAACUUUCAAUAGACUUAUACAUGCAAGCAUCCACGCCCCGGUGAGUAACGCCCUUCGAAUCACACAGGACUAAAAGGAGCAGGUAUCAAGCACACACUCUUGUAGCUCACAACGCCUUGCUUAACCACACCCCCACGGGAGACAGCAGUAACAAAAAUUAAGCCAUAAACGAAAGUUUGACUAAGCCAUAUUGACUAGGGUUGGUAAAUCUCGUGCCAGCCACCGCGGUCAUACGAUUGACCCAAGCUAACAGGAGUACGGCGUAAAGCGUGUUAAAGCAUCAUACUAAAUAGAGUUAAAUUUUAAUUAAACUGUAAAAAGCCAUAAUUAUAACAAAAAUAAAUGACGAAAGUAACCCUACAAUAGCUGAUACACCAUAGCUAAGACCCAAACUGGGAUUAGAUACCCCACUAUACUUAGCCCUAAACACAAAUAAUUAU